UUCGCUGGCGACUCUUCGAGGAACCGGGGAAUUGAGCGGCGGACGGGUGAGUAACACGUGGGCAACCUGCCCUCUAGACGGGGAUAACUCCGGGAAACCGGAGCUAAUACCCGAUAAUCAAGCAGAUCACCUGAUCUGCUUGUGAAAGCAUGGCCUUCGGGCCAUGCACUGGAGGAUGGGCCCGCGGCGUAUUAGCUAGUUGGAGAGGUAAGGGCUCCCCAAGGCGACGAUACGUAGCCGACCUGAGAGGGUGAUCGGCCACACUGGGACUGAGACACGGCCCAGACUCCUACGGGAGGCAGCAGUAGGGAAUCAUCCGCAAUGGACGAAAGUCUGACGGUGCAACGCCGCGUGAGUGAUGAAGGUUUUCGGAUCGUAAAGCUCUGUUGUGAGGGAAGAACAAGGGCGGUUCUAACAGGGCCGCCCCCUGACGGUACCUCCCCAGAAAGCCCCGGCCUAAUUACUUGCCACCAGCCGCGGUACUAUCCAGGGGGCAUGCGUUGUCCCGAACUAUUGGGCGAUAAAGCUCGCACAUGCCGCUCCUUAAUUCUGACUCGAAAACCCCCAGCGUACCAUCCUUCACGUCACCUUGCGAAAACUGCUGGCACCGGCCCUGCUCCCUCAUUUUAACCUCUCUUCCCACUCCUUUCUCUCACUCUCUCCUUAUCUCCUCUUUCCCUAAAUACCUCUCUUGGUAUUCUUCCAUCCACCUCCUAACUCAUUUCUCUCUGCAUCUCCCCAAUUACCUACUCCUCUUAUAUAUGUUCUCUUUUCCACUUCCUACCCAUUCCUCUUACUCUUCUACCUCUACCACUCUUCCACUCUUCUGCCCACAAUCUAAUUCACCCCCUUCCAUUUCAUCUACACUCUCCAUGUCUAUCUCAUCUAUCUUUUCAGCAUACCUAUCCUACAUAUCCCCUCUUCCCUCCCACCUCG
RNAcentral lists this ribosomal RNA (936 nucleotides) under uncultured Marinococcus sp. RNAcentral's name for it is "bacterial SSU rRNA". The stretch from base 1 to 569 matches the Rfam family "Bacterial small subunit ribosomal RNA". The record is from RNAcentral. Lineage: Bacteria; Bacillati; Bacillota; Bacilli; Caryophanales; Bacillaceae.